GACACUGAGGCUCGAAAGCGUGGGUAGCAAACAGGAUUAGAUACCCUGGUAGUCCACGCCGUAAACGAUGUCUACUAGUCGUUGAGUCCCUUGAGGACUUAGUGACGCAGCUAACGCAAUAAGUAGACCGCCUGGGGAGUACGGCCGCAAGGUUAAAACUCAAAUGAAUUGACGGGGGCCCGCACAAGCGGUGGAGCAUGUGGUUUAAUUCGAUGCAACGCGAAGAACCUUACCUGGUCUUGACAUACACAGAAUCUUGUAGAGAUACGAGAGUGCCUUCGGGAAUUGUGAUACAGGUGCCGCAUGGCUGUCGUCAGCUCGUGUCGUGAGAUGUUGGGUUAAGUCCCGCAACGAGCGCAACCCUUGUCCUUAGUUACCAGCACUUCGGGUGGGAACUCUAAGGAUACUGCCAGUGACAAACUGGAGGAAGGCGGGGACGACGUCAAGUCAUCAUGGCCCUUACGACCAGGGCUACACACGUGCUACAAUGGUAGGUACAGAGGGCAGCUACACAGCGAUGUGAUGCGAAUCUCAAAAAGCCUAUCGUAGUCCAGAUUGGAGUCUGCAACUCGACUCCAUGAAGUAGGAAUCGCUAGUAAUCGCGGAUCAGAAUGCCGCGGUGAAUACGUUCCCGGGCCUUGUACACACCGCCCGUCACACCAUGGGAGUUGAUUGCACCAGAAGUGGUUAGCC
This 693-nucleotide ribosomal RNA is filed under the name uncultured bacterium. RNAcentral's name for it is "bacterial SSU rRNA". It matches the Rfam family "Bacterial small subunit ribosomal RNA", at positions 742 to 1435 of the family's 1533-position model. The record is from RNAcentral.